Molecule: long non-coding RNA, 437 nt
Filed under: Brassica napus (rape)
Lineage: Eukaryota; Viridiplantae; Streptophyta; Magnoliopsida; Brassicales; Brassicaceae
Description: long non-coding RNA (BNAP_LNC017434)
Source: RNAcentral
UACGAUCGGGUUGAAUAUGUGUUCACUAGGGUUCCUAAAUCAACUCUCUUAUGUUUCUAGCAAUCCUAACUCAAUAGAAUUUAGUUCAGAGAAAAGACCAAGCGUUAGCAAUUGUGCCUAAUGAUUCUAAGAUCAUGGUUCUAGUUCAUGACUCUAGAACACAAGCAGUAAGAACAAUCUUAUGAUGAAUAUCACAACUUAGCAGUUCUAUAUUUUGGGCUAAUCCCUCAUAACCUAUCUGAACCGUAAACCUAACAAAUGGAUCUAUUCAGACAUGAAGUUUGUCACAGAAAUCAUAAGAUGAACAGAUAAUAAAACUGCAAUAGAAUAAAUAUAAAAACCAAAGGAGUUCCAGGAGGACUCUGAAGCAGUUCCUCCUUUCUCUCCUGACUUAGAACUAUGAAUUAAAGAAGGAUUAGAUAGCGUGUCGCCGUCAA